CUGUCAAGUCAAACUGGAAGAAGCAUUUACAUAGGCGCUACACUCAGCUGGGCGGAACCAAUCUGCAGCUGCAGGUUUGCUACCGGCAGCAUAAAAUGGGACACACGCAGCACUGAGAGGGAAGGAGAAUGAAUGACCUCGCUCCAACAAAGUGGCUGUGAGCACAAGGAUUUGCGGCAAACUGACUGUGCAGGACCUGCUUCAUCUACGGAAAUCCGGGUGGCGGCCGGUUUUUCACCUAAACCUAUCAACCAACCCUAUCGACUAAACCUUUCAACCAAACCUAUCACCUAAGUUGCCAUCGUUGUAUUUUAUGACCAUGGAACUAUUGCAAAAUAAAAGAGGAGGAAAAGAAAGCAACUGUCUGACUCAUGAGUGGAGCCCAGCUCAUAACCCGAGUAGAUGAACAUCCUUUUUCAAGUGGGGAAACUGCACACUGCACACUUAUCCUCAGAAAAUCAUCAAUGAUAGACACGCGUCAUUGAAAGUGGGGGAACACUUGACAGUGUCUAACAGAUUAUUCCAGAAACUCUUUAGUUUCAGUUUCGUCUCCCAUGCCUCCACUCCAGCUUCAUUCCUUUGUUUGCCGGCUGCCUAUAGGCGUCUGGAUUAUUCAUGAGCUCCAUAUUGUUUCUGGCCAAUGCAGAAAACAUGUUUUUCCUCCUAUAUUAUCUUCAUUCUUCAUGCAUUGUUCUGGUCUACAGUGAGCAGGUUAAACUGCAGGAUGACUGCAGGUUACGGCAUUAAUCAUUUAUUCCAUUCCACUUCAGCCUUUUCAUAUAUUAAUGCUAAACAAUGUGCAGGAGAUGUUUGGUUUGAUUUCAGCCUCAUGAAAAUGUCAACAUCAUGUUCCUGCUGAGGUUAUUUUUGACUUUUAUGCCCACGGAUGUUCAUUUCUGCUGCAGGAUUGUAAAUAAUUUAAGCUUAUUUUACACAUUUUCCCUGUUUUGGUAAAUUACAGAUAAUAAAGUCAGAGAAAAAAAAAGCUUUUAUUUACAUGGUAAAUAAUGUCCACAUCAAAAUCUUUUUUUUUUUUUUUUUUCAAAUAGUAACUUUUUUAAACAGUGUUUGACUGUAAAAUAUUUUUCAAACUGAUGAUUAAUAUUAUGUUUAUUAAAGAUGGACUGCUGUUUUACAGAUUUUUACUGUUUUGUUAAAUUAGAGAUAAUUACAGUAAAAUCACAGAAAAAGAUUAUUAAUUGACAUCUUAACUGACAUGUUAACCCCUAAAAAACUGUAAAUAAUGUCCACAUCAAAAUAUAUGAAUCGACUUUUUUCUUACAAAAGAAGACUUUUAUUUAUUUGAAUUUACAGUGUUUGACCAUCAAAUAUAUAUUUUAACUGUAUUUAAAUGAACAGAAAAUAUUUUUAACUGAUAUUUCAGAUUUGAAAUUAUAGAAACAGAAAUUAUUUACAUGUGUGUUAAAAAUAAAUAAAAAUAAGUUCAAGCUGUACUGACCAUCAGAAAUCUGGAUAUUACAUGUAUGUAAUAGUACCACUGUUUGCUUGUUUGAUUUUACAGUUUUUGAAUAUUACCUGUAAUUUAAAAAAUAAUUUACUAUUAUUUGACAGAUUUUCUGUGUUUUGUUUACAGUUCACACAUCAUAAAUCCCUGAAAAAUAUAUUAAUUUACAUGUUAUAUACAUGCACACACACACAUAGAUAUGUAUAUAUCUAUGUGUGUGUGUGUGUGUGUGUCUAUACACACAAAUAAUACUUUUAUUUAUUUCAAAAAUAUAUCCUUUAAAUAUUUUUUAGAAUGUUUGACCUCAAAAUGUAUAUUUUAACUGUGUUAAAAUCAACAGAAAACAUGGUUGUUUUGCAGAUAUUUUCUGUUAUGUGAAAGAAAAAUUAUGUAUGAAAAGGAAUGAUUUGAUAACCGAUCACCAGAUUAAUUUGUUCUGUUUGACUGAAACCUGGUUGCAGCAGGAAGAAUAUGUUAGUCUAAAUGAAUCAACUCCUACUAGUCAUACUAACUGUCAUGUUCCUCCAAUCACGGGCCGAGGAGGAGGAGUGGCAGCAAUUUACCUCUCUAGCUUAAAAAUGAACCAGAGACCUAAACCUAGAUCUUACUCUGUCUCUCUAAUCCAGAUUUAAAAGCUCAGAAACCAGUUUUAUUUGUUGUUGUAUAUCGUCCUCCUGCUCCUUACUGAGUUUUUAUCUCAGUUCUCAGACUUUUUAUCUGAUUUAGUGCUCAGCUCAGAUAAAGUCAUUAUUGUGGGUGACUUUAACAUUCAUGUUGACGUGGACAGUGACAGACUUACGACUGCUUUUAAUUCAAUAUUAGACUCAAUUGGGUUUUCUCAACAUGUAAAUAAACCAACUCAUAGUUUUAAUCACACCCUUGACCUCGUUGUGACUUAUGGCAUAGAAAUCAAACAGUUAACAGUAUUUCCCCAGAACCCUCUUCUUUCUGACCAUUUUAUGGUAACAUUUCAAUUUACAACAAUAGAUUGUACAGGAGUUAGGGUUUGUUCCUCCUCCAGAACGUUCAUUUCCUCUCUGUAUUUGAACUCCCAGAGGUUUUUUUUUCUGCAGCCACCAAACGUGUAAUUAAAGCCCAUUAAUGCAGAGUUCAUGCAUGAAUCAUUUUCUAUUAGCGGCCAGCAGCGUCUCCCUGAAGCCUUCUCUGAUCGGGGUCGAUGUCGGCUCUGAGGGUCAACUUCAUUACCGUCUGAAUUUCAUCCAUCCUUAACCUCCGACCUCCAGCGUCGACCUUCAGGACAGAGUUCCUCCUCAGCACCACGGGUUUGUAAUCCGCCGUCCUGAAGACCCGACACCUAGGCGGUUUUAUUCCCAGGAGGGGGCUGGCGUAUAAUUACCAAAUAGAGCGUUGUCAGGAGCUGGUUCUGGUGGACUUCAUGCCUUUGUGCUCGUCUGACAGCGGCAUGGAUGGAAGUGUGGAGGCAGCAGAGCCUGGAGAACAUUAAAGAUUCUGUUUAACCUCCAGUCACCGGACGGCUUCCUGUCAGCUGAUUAUGAAGCAGAAACAUGGAUUAUACACUCUCGUUUUGUAAAGUUAUCCCUCUUUUUCUCCUCUCUCAUCUGUAUUUUCAGCUCUGGUCAGCGGUCAUUAACCACCGCAAAAGUCUUUGUCAUGGUGCUCGUUGUUAGCUAAACUACAUAUCAAAAUAUGUAUUUUUAAAUACAAGAAUUUAUCCUACUUGAUCCCGGCUUGUAUUAAAAACAUUAAUGCUGA
Amphiprion ocellaris (clown anemonefish) is the source of this 3199-nucleotide long non-coding RNA. RefSeq lists it as uncharacterized. The transcript has 2 exons. NCBI's taxonomy places the organism in Eukaryota, Metazoa, Chordata, Actinopteri, Pomacentridae. The record is from RefSeq and is a predicted model, not a curated record.